This is a long non-coding RNA of Homo sapiens (human), 2071 nucleotides long. Ensembl annotates it as long intergenic non-protein coding RNA 2693. The record is from Ensembl. NCBI's taxonomy places the organism in Eukaryota, Metazoa, Chordata, Mammalia, Primates, Hominidae.
GGAGCCCUCCGUGGCAGGGCUUCGGUGUCGGGGCUCCGAGGCUCCGGCCUGACUUCUCCACGGGGUCCACAGGAGCGUCUCCGGAUGCCAGGACCUGAAAUGGGCCGACCAGGAUGAGGAAACCACAGGCAGAGGCCGGGGAAGCAGCGCGGCAUCCCAUCCUCAGGCCUGCCCGGACGGUGUUCGGAAUCAUCUCCCCUGCCCCACAAACAUGAAAGAAAAGACAAGAGAAGCACCCCAGAAGAGGAGGGGAGAAGUGCCCCAGAAAAAAUCAUCCAGUCUCUGAAGCUUUGCCCAGAAACUAUGAAAAUACAUUGCAAGAAUGCAACAUGCAGCACAGCAGAGAAGGGGCUGUCUGCAAAGAUAAAGGGCUGGAGGGAAGUUUUCUAAGGUUGUGCUGGACGGCGCUAUGUGCAGCCAGUCUCCACCUCCAAAACAAGACUCAGAAAAAGGUGUGAAGCUCAAGUCGGAUGACCAUGACCCACGCGUGGCCACGGACGGGCCCAUGCUACCCUUCGCAGUCCUCCUGGAACAGCCGGGCCGGUCCUCACCUCCGGGUCGGGGCUUGGAGAUAAUGGGUGUAAUGGAAGGCCUGAGGACCGGGCCCCACGCCAGUCAGCGUCCGGGCGGGAUACCCCAUCCCCCGUUCACACUCUCGGAAGGCCCAGCGAUUCCCGCGUGUACUAAUUGACCCGCUCAGGCCACAGCACUCCGAGCUCAAGAGCGCGCCUACAACGCUGACCCUCAGGUUUAAUCUCCGACGAAAGGACGAAGAGUACACCCAGCAAAGCCGGGCUCAUCCUGCCAGCGCUGCCAGUCCCCUGGAACUCUGCACCGCGCCCUGUGGCCAAAUCCCCUUUCUUGCCGGCUUCGCCAGAGCGCCGGAGAGAAAACCUUAACAGUGCAGCCAGGUGGCGCCCGACAGCCGGCGCCAGCGGCCGCGGAUCGGAUCCGCAUCUCCGGCGGGCGAGGCCUCUCCUAGUCCCUGACCAACUGGGAUCGCGUUUCUCGGCCUGGGGCGGGUGAAGGAGCUCCCAGUUGGCACCGCCUGGAAUGGCGCGACCCCGCAGCCGAAGGAGACUUGAAAAUUUUUCCUAACUACCGUUCUGCUCCGAGUGACUGCUACCUGCGAGGACAGACAGCCCACGCGGCUCCGGGCCGGGCGAUCUUCCGCGGGAACCGGGAACGUUUCCGAAGACCCCCGCAGGCCGGCGCCCUGCCUCGGCUUCCCAGCGCAGCGGGGUCCCGGGCUCCUCGCGGAUUAGAAAGUUUUGCUGGGCUCUGGCGGCGGGAGAGACAGUGAAGUUGAAACCGUGAAAGGGAGAACAUGGGUGAAUCGCUUUUAUUCUGUCUUUUCGGAAUGGGGAAGCCUUUCUAAAGCAUUAAAUAAACCCAGAAGCCAUCAAGGAAAUGAUUGAUCGGCUUGACAACAUAAAGUUUGAACAAAAUACACAAGCAAAGUCAAAAGAUAACAAAUGAGUGUGGGGAUCGCUUAUGCAUAAGAUAAGAAUAUUGAUUUCAUUCACAGUAGCCAAGAUACGGAAGCAACCUAGCCAAGAUAUGGAAGCAUCUACUAGUGGCUGAACGGAUAAAGAAAAUGUGGUGUAUGUACACCACGGGGUACUGUCCCGCCUUUGAAUAAAAGGAAAUCCUGCCAUUGGCGACAACAUGGAUGAACGUGGAGGUCAUUGUACUAAGAAAAGUAAGCCAGGCACAGAAACAAAUACCACCUGGUCUCUCCUGUAUGUGGAAUCUGAAAAUAGUUGAACUCAUAGAAACGGAGAGUAGAACGGUGGCUACUUGAGGCCGGGGGAAGGGCAGGAGGGGGAAGAUGUUAGUCAAAGGGUACAAGGAUUCAGUUAGACAAGAGGAAUAUGUUUUAGUGAUCCACAUGGCACGGUGACUGUAGUUAAUGCAUUUUAUAUGUCAAAAUUCCUUAAAUAGUAGAUUUUAAAUAAUCUCACCACAAAAAAAUAGAUGUGUUGGUGAUGGAUAUCUUAAUUAGCUUAAAGUAAUUGUUCCACCAAUGUAUACAUAUAUCAAAACAUCACAUUGUAUCCCAUGAAUAUAU